UAACCUUUAGGAACUAAAAAAAGAAACCAACACUGCCUCUCCUCCCUGCUCUAACCCUGCAAACCAUCUCCCUGUUCCCUCUCUCUCUUCCCCGCAUCCACCGCAGGCCGCAACCACCAACGAUCCGAGCAGUCGAGUUCGAGGAAGAGAAAGCUAGUCACCGACGUUGAAGAUGGUCUUGUCGUUGACGCUCAAUUCGACGACACUCCUCCCCACCUCCGCCAACUCGCCGCCGUCUCUCAGUCCGGCGACCUCCCUUCCCUCCGCCUCGCUCUCGAGAGAUCAAUUUUGUCAAUGACAUGGUCGGCACACUUGCUGGCAAUGGUACAAAGGGCUCUGAUUACAAAGGAGGAAGAAGGGGAACGUCUCAGAGAAAAGGUUUAUAUAGAAAUAGCUGGCCAACAUCAGAUCUGGGAACACAAUCUAUCAGACGAAACCAACAUAGCUUUUAGUGGUGAUGGUUAUGAAAGAAACUUGAAUGGUUCAAGCCUGAUGACCACAUUAUUUGCACAGUCAUGUCAAACCGGCCUUUGGGUUAGGAAGGGGAGAGGGGAUCAUCUUAUAAAUGGUUGAAGUACACUAAUGGUAAAGGACUGUUGUCAGGCUACUUGGAAAAAGACCUGGCUGUCAAUAGGUUUUCAAAAUUCCAAGGGAGGGGCCCUUUACCAAAAAGGAGUUGGAUGAAGUUCGAGACAAGUGGGUUACUUAAUUACUUCAACGAUUGUGAACUACCCUCAGUGUAAUAAAUAGAGAAGGCUUGUAGUUAUUCGUGACUCUUACAUUAUUUUGUUAUUUAUCGAUUUAAUUAAUUACAUUUGAAUAAAUUCGGUAAUAUUAUUGGAAAUUUGAAAUUUAUAUCAUUUUUGAGAAUGUCAA
Spinacia oleracea (spinach) is the source of this 876-nucleotide long non-coding RNA. RefSeq lists it as uncharacterized. NCBI's taxonomy places the organism in Eukaryota, Viridiplantae, Streptophyta, Magnoliopsida, Caryophyllales, Amaranthaceae. The transcript has 5 exons. The record is from RefSeq and is a predicted model, not a curated record.